CCAGAACCAGCGUAAGUCGAGGAUAGCC
This 28-nucleotide small RNA is filed under the name Bombyx mori (domestic silkworm). Its description in RNAcentral is "ovarian small RNA-13543". The record is from RNAcentral. Lineage: Eukaryota; Metazoa; Arthropoda; Insecta; Lepidoptera; Bombycidae.